This 1201-nucleotide ribosomal RNA is filed under the name Myxobolus arcticus. RNAcentral describes it as "SSU rRNA". It matches the Rfam family "Eukaryotic small subunit ribosomal RNA", at positions 800 to 1789 of the family's 1831-position model. The record is from RNAcentral. Lineage: Eukaryota; Metazoa; Cnidaria; Myxozoa; Bivalvulida; Myxobolidae.
GUUAAUAGCAUGGAACGAACAAUUGUGUUAUACGUGUCUACGCUUGCAGUUGGAUGGAUUUAUUUUGUCCAGUUGUAGGUGUGGUUCACAUCACCAACCGCCAAUAACGGAUGUUGGUUUCCGUAUUGGGGUGAUGAUUAAAAGGAGCGAUUGGGGGCAUUGGUAUUUGGCCGCGAGAGGUGAAAUUCUUGGACCGGCCAAGGACUAACAAAUGCGAAGGCAAUUGCCAAGAUCGUUUCCAUUAAUCAAGAACGACAGUCCGAGGUUCGAAGUCGAUCAGAUACCGACUUAGUUCGGACCGUAAACUAUGCCGACCCGAGAUCAGUUUUGAGCUAAUUAAACGCUCGAGGUUGCUCUCCCUGGGAAACCUCAAGUUUUUAGGUUACGGGGGGAGUAUGGUUGCAAAGCUGAAACUUAAAGGAAUUGACGGAAGGGCACCACCAGGGGUGGAGCCUGCGGCUUAAUUUGACUCAACACGGGAAAACUCACCUGGUCCGGACAUCGAAAGGAUAGACAGACUGAUAGAUCUUUCUUGAUACGUUGGUUGGUGGUGCAUGGCCGUUCUUAGUUCGUGGAGUGAUCUGUCAGGUUGAUUCCGGUAACGGACGAGACCAUAUUCUCCAUUUGAGGAAUGCAAAAACUCAGCCAGGGUGUGUUGGUUCGCUAACAUAUUCUGUCUGUAGCUGGUAGAUACUGAAUAUCCGGGUUUUGUCGUUGAUUGUGAGGUUGGGGGCAACUUUGACCGCGCAGUUGGCGGUCGAAUUCGGGGAUGCUGUACUCCUUUGCAAUAAACGGUGGCAGGAAACUGUUCACUGUCUUAUGGAGAGACAACGGUGAAUACGUCAAAGACCGAGGACGUGUGGCGAUAACAGGUCUGUGAUGCCCUAAGAUGUUCAGGGCCGCACGCGCGCUACAAUGAUAACGUCAGCGAGUAUCUGGGUUGUCAAACUUGGGUAAUCUUGUCAAUCGUUAUCGUGAUGGGGAUUGAUCGUUGUAAUUGUCGAUCAUGAAAGAGGAAUCCCUAGUAUGUGCACUUCAUUAGAGUGUACAGAUUAAGUCCCUGCCCUUUGUACACACCGCCCGUCGCUACUACCGAGUGAAUGGUGUCAUGAUGCUUUGGGACUGGACGUCGUUCGCUUUUAACGAGGCGAAAUGAUGCUGGGAUCAAUUAAAAUGGCGCAAUUUUCGAGGAAGUAAAAGU